UACGUAGGGUGCAAGCGUUGUCCGGAAUUAUUGGGCGUAAAGAGCUCGUAGGCGGUCUGUUGCGUCCGCUGUGAAAACCCGGGGCUUAACCCCUGGCUUGCAGUGGAUACGGACAGACUAGAGGUAGGUAGGGGAGAAUGGAAUUCCCGGUGUAGCGGUGAAAUGCGCAGAUAUCGGGAGGAACACCGGUGGCGAAGGCGGUUCUCUGGGCCACUACUGACGCUGAGGAGCGAAAGCUAGGGGAGCAAACGGG
This 253-nucleotide ribosomal RNA is filed under the name uncultured bacterium. RNAcentral describes it as "partial 16S ribosomal RNA". It matches the Rfam family "Bacterial small subunit ribosomal RNA", at positions 524 to 776 of the family's 1533-position model. The record is from RNAcentral.